ACCUGCCCUAUGAAUAAGUUAUUUUUAAAUGGCUGCGGUACUUUGACCGUGCAAAGGUAGCAUAAUAAUUAGUUUCUUAAUUAGGAACUGGAAUGAAUGGUCGAACGAGAAAAAGACUGUCUCAAUUUAAUUUAAAUUAGAAUUUUAUUUUUAAGUAAGAAAGCUUAAAUAUUCUUAAAAGACGAGAAGACCCUAUAGAGUUUUAUAUAAAUUAUUAUAAUUGAAAGGUAAAGUAUUAUAGAUUUAGUUAUAGUAAUUUAUAUUUGGUUGGGGCGAUUAAAAAAUUUAAUAAACUUUUUUUAGAUAAGACCAUUAAUUUAUGAGUGAGUGAUCCAUAAUUUAUGAUUAAAAGAUU
RNAcentral lists this ribosomal RNA (355 nucleotides) under Arachnodes pusillus. RNAcentral's name for it is "partial 16S ribosomal RNA". The stretch from base 1 to 168 matches the Rfam family "Archaeal large subunit ribosomal RNA", at positions 1949 to 2143 of the family's 2987-position model. Lineage: Eukaryota; Metazoa; Arthropoda; Insecta; Coleoptera; Scarabaeidae. The record is from RNAcentral.